AGUUUCUAUACACAAAUCUGAGGGGAAAACCCAAGCAUCUAGAAUCUAGAUAAAUCUAGCUAUAUAGGAGAAUCAAGAUCUAAUAUUAUUAAUAUGGCUUCUAGGGGUGGAUGUCUUGUUGUUAUUAGCUCCGCUGCUGAAGGUGUUUUUGCAGCUUCAUUUAUGCAAGCAUGCACUCUGGUCAACCAGACCUUUGCUAUUCAAUUGGCAUCACCAGGGGGUAGGCAGGCAGAAUAUAUUAAUCAGGAUGAUUCUAAUAGGAGAUGGUUUAAUGAAUUUCGUUCUAAGUCAAGUUCAACACCGAUAGGACUUGAAACUGUUGAUGUAAAUCGGUAUUCAGCUCUUUUGAUUCCUGCAUGUCCUGGAGCCAUUCAUGAUUUGUGUGCCAAUGCUGAUCUAGCACAAAUAAUUACUCACUUUAUUCAAGAAAAAAAACCAGUGUGUGCUAUUGGACAUGGAGUUGCUGGCUUAUUCUCAGCCAGAAAGGAAGAUGGAAAAUCUUGGUGGUUGGAAGAUUUUUGUUUAACUGCACCUUCAUUAUUUGAAGUCGGCCAACUUCCAGACUUUGCAAUGUUGCCAGUUCUACCUGAAGAUUUUAUUAAAGAUCAUGGUGGCAAAUAUACAGCUACAGAACCUGAUGGAAUACAUGUUGUUAUAGACAGAUUUCUUAUUACUGGUCAAAAUGCAGAGUCAACUGUCACAGCUGUUCAAAAUUUGAUUCUGAUGUGUAGUCAGAAGUAGGUCAUUCUGACAUAUUAUCUUUCCUGCUUCAACCCAUGUAGGUUAAUUCCUCUUGCUUUGCUUAAAUGUUUACAGAAUGGCCUGGAAAACAGCAACUAAAGAAUUUAACAAUGAACAAAUAGUGUUAAAGCUUCAUCUCAAUCAGUAAAGCAUGUUAUUCACCAACAUUGUGAGCCCUUCAGUUGAGUUUGUAGAGUUUCCAAGUCUGUGCCAACAAUUCAAGUGUAGCAGAUUCCUUUCUUUUGUGUUGGGCUGGUUCUGUGUUUACUAGAAUUUUUUUUUUAUAUACAAAUGCUGGUGGAUGCCAUUUAAUACAUAAAAGAAAUUAAAUUAUUGUGAAUCAGAAAACUAAUUCUAGUGUUUAUUUGUAAAACCUAAGUUGCAUUGAAAUUAUUUGAAGCCAAUUUUUUAUGCACGUGCAUCCCAUUAAGAAAAAAAAAACAAGGUGACAAAGACAAUUUGUGUGGAAAAAAUCAAAAUCAGCCUGUGGAGUGGUAAAAAAACAGGUUUCAAUAUUUUCAGAAAGAAAAUCAGAAGCUAUGAACUACAAACUUUCAACAACUACAACCCUAUCUCUGUCGAUACAAAAAAAAAAAAGACAUAGGUGUGUCAAAAGUGUUGCUAAUACUGUUGUAUUGUUAGUUCGACUAAAGACUUGAUAACACAGGAUACAGAGAUUUAUUAAUAUUAUUAUUAUAUUGUAAAUAUUCCUAUGUAUUCAAUGAACUGAUAGUUAUGAAGAUAUAGUUCCAUGUGUACCUGGCUGAUGUUAUUGAAGGAUUAUCUAAAUGUUCUGUUUCAUUCAAAGCCUCAACAAGGAAACUUUUCCCUUUAGUCCAGUGUUACAUGGUGUGGGUGUGCAUUGUUCUUCAUAUAUAUGUUAUGAAACUACUUAUUAAUUGGUAUGUUAAAUUAUAUUCUAUUUAUAUGCAUACUGAAUAGAUUUUUUCUCUUUAAAAAAGCAGGAUUUAUUUAAAAUGUAAGUAGCCAUUAAUAAAGUACUUAAUUUAGCAAUA
This is an RNA transcript of Biomphalaria glabrata, 1757 nucleotides long. It is a transcript of the gene named glutamine amidotransferase-like class 1 domain-containing protein 1, with no coding region annotated. The record is from RefSeq and is a predicted model, not a curated record. NCBI's taxonomy places the organism in Eukaryota, Metazoa, Mollusca, Gastropoda, Planorbidae. The transcript has 8 exons.